AUGGCGUCACGCACCACCUUCGCCGACGCGCUGGCGGCCGCGCGCCCGUACCUGCGGGGCGAGGAGGACCAGUGCGGCGACCCGGCCCUGCCCGCCCUCACCGCCGUGCUGCGCGCCGCGGGCGCCGGCGAGUGCUGGCACAAGCACGGCACCUUCCUCGCCCACCUGCUCGAGGUCUACCGGAUCCUGCGCCUCUGGGGCGCGCCCGACGCCGUGGCCCGCUGCGGCCUCUACCACUCCGCCUACUCCAACUCCUACGUCAACCUCGCCAUCUUCGAGCCCGACGUCGGCCGGGGCCGCGUCGCCGCCGUCGUCGGGGACGAGGCCGAGCGGCUCGUCCACCUCUUCUGCGUCGUCCCGCGCCAGCAGCUCGUGCACGACGACCUGCUCUUCCACUAUGACGAUGGUGAGCUCGUCGCCGACCUCGCCCGGUCCGAGGAGUCCCUCCGGGAUGCCCGCCGCGGCGUGUUCGACGAGGAUGAGCCCUGGCGCCGCAAGAUCCAGCGCCUCCUCCCCGCCGACGGCAUCACAGUCAAGCACAUCAGGACUGGUGAGGAUGUGGCUCUCUCUAGGCGGGUGGCGGCGACAUUCCUUAUGAUGACAAUGGCAGACUUCAGUGACCAGCUCUUCGACUGGCAGGACCGCCUCUUCAACAACGCCAACGGCCGCCUUGAGUUCCGAGGCAACACUUGGACGUCACUGUGGCCUGGCACAGGCAAGCCCGGCCUUUGGACCACGUCCAUCUCCCGCAUGGGUGUGCUCUACAGCCUAAUUGUUCACGAGGAGGAGAUAUACAUAGCUCACCGGGCGCACACCACCGGCAAGGAAGGCGACGACUCUGCCACACGCGACGAGGACAUCGCCCUGGUGAUCCCUCCGGUGUUCGAUGGCUGCACAAAGGUGCUGGACGCCGACGACCAGAAGGCAGCACGAGAUCUCUACUGGGAGGCGGUGUGCAGCGAUGAGGAGGCAACGGACCGAUGCAAAGUGGAGGAGCUGCUCCGGCAGAGCGUCGCCAAGAACCCGUUCGUGGGGGAGCCACGGCUGGUGCUCACGCAGAUGUGCCUGAACGCGGAGAUGUACGAGGAGGCACAGGAGCAGGCGGAGGAAGGGCUGAAGCUGCUGCUGGAGUGGGGGAGCAGCUGGGACAAGAGGAUGCCAUGGGAGGGGUGGGUGUCCUGGGGCAGAGCCAUGCUGACUAAGGCCAAGGAAAAGGAUUGGCCCCAUACCUCCUUCGGCAUCCUCAGCCUAGGCCUUGUCAAGUAG
Molecule: ribosomal RNA, 1266 nt
Filed under: Triticum aestivum (bread wheat)
Lineage: Eukaryota; Viridiplantae; Streptophyta; Magnoliopsida; Poales; Poaceae
Description: partial small subunit ribosomal RNA
Source: RNAcentral